RNAcentral lists this transfer RNA (57 nucleotides) under Dipodomys ordii (Ord's kangaroo rat). It matches the Rfam family "tRNA", at positions 9 to 63 of the family's 71-position model. Rfam says of the family: Transfer RNA (tRNA) molecules are approximately 80 nucleotides in length. Their secondary structure includes four short double-helical elements and three loops (D, anti-codon, and T loops). Lineage: Eukaryota; Metazoa; Chordata; Mammalia; Rodentia; Heteromyidae. The record is from Rfam by way of RNAcentral.
AGCUCAUUGGUAGAGUGCAUGCCUUGCAAGCAUGAGGCCCUGGGUUCGAUUCCUCAG